Molecule: ribosomal RNA, 497 nt
Filed under: uncultured bacterium
Lineage: Bacteria
Description: bacterial SSU rRNA
Rfam family: Bacterial small subunit ribosomal RNA
Source: RNAcentral
AGAGUUUGAUCCUGGCUCAGGAUGAACGCUAGCGGGAGGCCUAACACAUGCAAGCCGAGCGGUAUAGAAUCUUCGGAUUUUAGAGAGCGGCGUACGGGUGCGGAACACGUGUGCAACCUACCUUUAUCUGGAGGAUAGCCUUUCGAAAGGAAGAUUAAUACUCCAUAAUAUAUUGAUUGGCAUCAAUUAAUAUUGAAAGCUCCGGCGGAUAGAGAUGGGCACGCGCAAGAUUAGUUAGUUGGUGAGGUAACGGCUCACCAAGACGAUGAUCUUUAGGGGGCCUGAGAGGGUGAUCCCCACACUGGUACUGAGACACGGACCAGACUCCUACGGGAGGCAGCAGUGAGGAAUAUUGGACAAUGGGUGCAAGCCUGAUCCAGCCAUCCCGCGUGAAGGACGACUGCCUAUGGGUUGUAAACUUCUUUUGUAUAGGGAUAAACCUCUCCUCGUGAGGAGAGCUGAAGGUACUAUACGAAUAAGCACCGGCUAACUCCGUG